Molecule: ribosomal RNA, 253 nt
Filed under: uncultured bacterium
Lineage: Bacteria
Description: partial 16S ribosomal RNA
Rfam family: Bacterial small subunit ribosomal RNA
Source: RNAcentral
UACGUAGGGGGCUAGCGUUGUCCGGAAUCAUUGGGCGUAAAGCGCGUGUAGGCGGUCCGGUAAGUCCGCUGUGAAAGUCGGGGGCUCAACCCUCGGAUGCCGGUGGAUACUGUCAGGCUUGAGUACGGAAGAGGCGAGUGGAAUUCCUGGUGUAGCGGUGAAAUGCGCAGAUAUCAGGAGGAACACCAAUUGCGAAGGCAGCUCGCUGGGACGUUACUGACGCUGAGACGCGAAAGCGUGGGGAGCAAACAGG